Dermochelys coriacea (leatherback sea turtle) is the source of this 2465-nucleotide long non-coding RNA. RefSeq lists it as uncharacterized. NCBI's taxonomy places the organism in Eukaryota, Metazoa, Chordata, Testudines, Dermochelyidae. The transcript is spliced from 4 exons. The record is from RefSeq and is a predicted model, not a curated record.
CGACAGGCCCGUCGGCCACGGCUGCCUGGGGCGGGGCGGCGCCGGUCGAAAGGGGCUUGUGUGGGCUGCUCUCCCCCCUCCCAGUGCAUAAUAACGGCUGGGCCGGGCUUGCGAAAUCGGCGGGGGGUUAUUUCCCCCUCUGUUGGUACCCCAAGAAAUAUCAAGUCUGGCUCCCCUGGGUUGGCUGGAGAAGCCUCUGAGGUUUCCGGGGCCGCCCUGUGGACAGGCGGUGACCUCCUGGCCCCGCCACCAGGCUGGCACUCGGGAGGCCUGGCUUCUUCUUUUCCUGGCUCCGCAGUUGUCAGAGCGGCGUGACUUGGGGCAAAUUAUUAAAUUCUCCCUGCUUAAAUCUUCCCCGCUGAAAACUGGAGCUGAUGCUCCAGGCACCUUUUGUUAAAUCACUUCGAGAUCUUGGGGGCGAAAAAUGCGGGAUGAAUUCUACCUAUGAGCUUUCGUGCCUCUUCAUUAGGGGCUAGGGUGGUGGGAUCUUUACAGAUGGUCUUUCCCUGUUAAACCGUGGCGUUAAAUGGGAGUCAAAACAGCCUAAACAGCUGCAGGAAAAAUCUUUCGCCCUCAGUUGCUCGGUUUUCAGGGUUUUCCCCCUUGUAACUUCAUUGUCCCCUCAGUAGUCAUCAACAGGGUUUCCAGGUGAACAAAACUAGAAUUUUUAGUCUUUAAGAAAGUGGGGAAAAAAAUCCUUUCGGGUCUUCUUUAUAUGUCGUAAAGCAGCAUAACAGUCUAUAGAUCCCUUCUCCCUUUGUAGUUCACCUUUCAUAGCAUCCUGUGGUUCUGUGCAGUGACCCUGUGGUAUGGGCAGGAUUCUCCCCUGAAACUGGAAAAGAGAAUUUGCUUUUAUUAUUAUCAAAUGUUGACAGUGCGCACAAUACUGCACAAAACCCAAAGAUAGUUUCCUGUGCUAAAGAAAGUGCCUGUUUGUAUUUCUAUUCCAGUUAUAGAGCACCUUUAAUUGUGAAGGGUCUCAGAGCAUUUUACAGACUUCAGCUGAUAACCAGAGGAAUAAUUUUUCCCAGUGGUGACUGUACUUUGAAGGUAGAAAAACUGAUCAGUUGUUCAGCUGGGCAUAGCAGUUCUCCACAACAAUAUAAUAAAUGAAGUGAAGAAUACCAUUUAGAAACUGCAGCUGUCUGUAGGUAGGCAGAAUGUAAAUGAGAAAUUGUCCCUGAGAUUUUCUUUUUUCCUGGAAUUGGGUGGCAUUUCCUUUUUACUCCGUAACUGGCACAUUUCAGUAAUUCUGAAAGACUCUUCUGUGCUGUUGUAUGAUUGAAUAUGACCAUUUACAUCACUGAUAUUACCACGGUUCUACAAUUGCACCAAAUCUUUUACAAAGUAUGUCAUACUGGAUUUCUAACAAGGAAGCUCUAAGCAAGGACUGAUUACCCCCAACCUGUUUGGGUAAUUCCAGGGAGAGAGUUUUGCAAGCUCGCAGUUUAUUCCAUCAUUGCUAUGAUCCUGAUCUAUGAACACUGAAAAAUCACUUAUGAAUUUCUCUGCAUGACCUUGUCAUGCAUCUGAUGCAAAGUCACCAUUUUACAGACUGGUAUUAAAAGUGAAUGGCAACAGCUGAGCAGUUGACCGAUAUGAAAGGGAAGAAACAGAGGUCUAAGAAUGAGAUGUCUGAAGCCCUCCUUACAGACUUUCCAAAAAACCCUGGAAAACUACUGAUAACUGGAAAGUGUUUUUGAUGUCUGAAAGAGAAAAAGACAGGCAGCUAUCCAGCGACAGGAUUGAACUGGCCCGAGACAGUGUUGCCAUGACAAAAGACACUGCGGAGAAAGAUAGGGACUCCUGGAGGCAAUGAUCAGGCAGAACAUUCAGUUGGAUUGCAUAGUGAAAUUAGGCCAGCAGACAAUCCAGCAUCUUCAGCCAAAAUCAGCCAUGUUCUGCAGCCCCUGUAUGAUCUAGGGUACUGGGAACACCAGCCUAUGUUCCCCGCUGUAGACCUGCAGCCUUGCUCUCAGAGGCCAUUCACUUCCCCAGCUUCAGCAUUGGGUAGUAAGAACACCACAUGGGAGCCCAGCACAUCUGCACUAUCCAAUGCAUGUGGCAACUGUGACCCCAUAUGGUACCCUAGAAGGCAGAGGGUCUAGAAGAAGCAAAGACAAGAUGUACACCUGUGUGAACAGAAGCCCCUCCCCUGACUUGUUGUGUGUUGCCCUCUUCACCCCACUGUAUGUGAAAGACAUUUUUUCACUUUAAAGCUGUGUUUGAUGUUGUUUUAAUCCCUAUGAUCGAAGAUUGUAACAUUUUUUAAGUUUUAUUUUUGGUUUUUAUUUAUUGCAAUAAUCUGUGCAAUAAAAAACAUUAAGUACCAAAGUACCUGCAAUGGAUGGUACACACAAUCCACAAAUUUUCAACUGAACAGCAGUGUCGUAAGUUUUUAUAAAAGUACAGAUGGUAUAAAAUAGAGUACCCAAAUGUGCCACUUCCAGCAUCCAUAAAAUCAA